AUUAAAGUUCAAUUUAGAGAUACAAUUAUUUAAGGUAAAUUACAUCUGUUUGAAAGUGAAACCAGUUUUUUUUUUUCAUGCAGGCUCUGUCAGUCAUAGCCAGGGGAGGUGUGGCUAGGGCUGCGUAAACAGAAACAAAGUGAUUUAACUCCUAAAUGACAGUGAAUUGGGCAGUGAAAUUGCAGGGGAAUGAUCUAUACCAGUGAUGGCGAACCUUUUUGAGCCCGAGUGCCCAAACCGUAAUACAUGCCAAUUUUUUUUCCCUCAAAGUGCCAAAACGGCAAUUAAACCUGAAUACUGAGGUUUAAGUUUAGAAAAAACAACUCAUACAGUUGUCCGAACUAAU
Molecule: non-coding RNA, 346 nt
Organism: Pelobates cultripes (western spadefoot toad)
Lineage: Eukaryota; Metazoa; Chordata; Amphibia; Anura; Pelobatidae
Source: the annotation of a GenBank genome assembly